Molecule: ribosomal RNA, 444 nt
Filed under: uncultured Bacillota bacterium
Lineage: Bacteria; Bacillati; Bacillota
Description: bacterial SSU rRNA
Rfam family: Bacterial small subunit ribosomal RNA
Source: RNAcentral
CCUACGGGGGGCUGCAGUGGGGAAUAUUGGGCAAUGGAGGAAACUCUGACCCAGCAAUGCCGCGUGAGUGAAUGAAGGUCUUCGGAUUGUAAAGCUCUUUGAUUGGGGACGAAUAAAUGACGGUACCCAAGGAACAAGCCCCGGCUAACUAUGUGCCAGCAGCCGCGGUAAUACAUAGGGGGCAAGCGUUGUCCGGAAUGACUGGGCGUAAAGGGUGUGUAGGCGGUUUCGCAAGUUGGAAGUGUAAUACCUAGAGCUUAACUCAGGUGCUGCUUCCAAAACUGCGAGACUUGAGUGUCGGAGAGGAAAAUGGAAUUCCUAGUGUAGCGGUGGAAUGCGUAGAUAUUAGGAGGAACACCAGAGGCGAAAGCGAUUUUCUGGACUGUAACUGACGCUGAGGCACGAAAGCGUGGGGAGCAAACAGGCUUAGAUACCCGUGUAGUC